GUGUCAGCAGCCGCGGUAAUACGGAGGUGGCAAGCGUUGUUCGGAAUUACUGGGCGUAAAGGGCGCGUAGGCGGCAAGGCAAGUCAGGUGUGAAAGCCCCGAGCUUAACUCGGGAAUUGCAUCUGAAACUGCUGUGCUUGAGUUCUGGAGGGGGUAGUGGAAUUCCCAGUGUAGCGGUGAAAUGCGUAGAUAUUGGGAGGAACACCUGCGGCGAAGGCGGCUACCUGGACAGAAACUGACGCUGAGGCGCGAAAGCUAGGGGAGCGAACGGGAUUAGAAACCCCUGUAGUCC
This 292-nucleotide ribosomal RNA is filed under the name uncultured bacterium. Its description in RNAcentral is "partial 16S ribosomal RNA". It matches the Rfam family "Bacterial small subunit ribosomal RNA", at positions 505 to 796 of the family's 1533-position model. The record is from RNAcentral.